UGGCCUACUAUUGGGUCCGGAAACGGACUGACCUUAAAUUUCGGCGGACGGGCUGAGUAAUGCUUAGGAAUCUGCCUAUUAGUGGGGGACAACAUUCCGAAAGGAAUGCUAAUACCGCAUACGCCCUACGGGGGAAAGCAGGGGAUCUUCGGACCUUGCGCUAAUAGAUGAGCCUAAGUCGGAUUAGCUAGUUGGUGGGGUAAAGGCCUACCAAGGCGACGAUCUGUAGCGGGUCUGAGAGGAUGAUCCGCCACACUGGGACUGAGACACGGCCCAGACUCCUACGGGAGGCAGCAGUGGGGAAUAUUGGACAAUGGGCGGAAGCCUGAUCCAGCCAUGCCGCGUGUGUGAAGAAGGCCUUUUGGUUGUAAAGCACUUUAAGCGAGGAGGAGGCUACUGGUACUAAUACUACUGGAUAGUGGACGUUACUCGCAAAUAAGCACCGGCUAACUCUGUGCCAGCAGCCGCGGUAAUACAGAGGGUGCGAGCGUUAAUCGGAUUUACUGGGCGUAAAGCGUGCGUAGGCGGCUGAUUAAGUCGGAUGUGAAAUCCCUGAGCUUAACUUAGGAAUUGCAUUCGAUACUGGUCAGCUAGAGUAUGGGAGAGGAUGGUAGAAUUCCAGGUGUAGCGGUGAAAUGCGUAGAGAUCUGGAGGAAUACCGAUGGCGAAGGCAGCCAUCUGGCCUAAUACUGACGCUGAGGUACGAAAGCAUGGGGAGCAAACAGGAUUAGAUACCCUGGUAGUCCAUGCCGUAAACAUGUCUACUAGCCGUUGGGGCCUUUGAGGCUUUAGUGGCGCAGCUAACGCGAAUAAGUAGACCGCCCUGGGGGAGUACGGUCCCAAGACUUAAAACUUCAAAUGAAUUUGACGGGGGCCCCCGCACAAAGCGGUGGGAGCAUGUGGGUUUAAUUUCGAUGCAACCCCGAAAAACCUUUACCCUGGGUCCUUGACAUAAAAAGAAAUUUUCCAAAAAAUGGGAUUGGGUGGCCUUCGGGAAACUUAAACAGGGUGCCUGCAUGGGCUGUUCCUCACCUCGUGUCUGAAAUUUUUUGGGUUAAAUCCCCCAAACAAGCCCACCCCUUUUUCUUUUUUUCCAGCCUUUCGGG
RNAcentral lists this ribosomal RNA (1106 nucleotides) under Acinetobacter sp. JB54. RNAcentral's name for it is "bacterial SSU rRNA". It matches the Rfam family "Bacterial small subunit ribosomal RNA", at positions 59 to 1130 of the family's 1533-position model. The record is from RNAcentral. Lineage: Bacteria; Pseudomonadati; Pseudomonadota; Gammaproteobacteria; Moraxellales; Moraxellaceae.